This 773-nucleotide ribosomal RNA is filed under the name uncultured Streptococcus sp. RNAcentral describes it as "bacterial SSU rRNA". It matches the Rfam family "Bacterial small subunit ribosomal RNA", at positions 28 to 776 of the family's 1533-position model. Lineage: Bacteria; Bacillati; Bacillota; Bacilli; Lactobacillales; Streptococcaceae. The record is from RNAcentral.
GACGAACGCUGGCGGCGUGCCUAAUACAUGCAAGUAGAACGCACAGGAUGCACCGUAGUUUACUACACCGUAUUCUGUGAGUUGCGAACGGGUGAGUAACGCGUAGGUAACCUGCCUGGUAGCGGGGGAUAACUAUUGGAAACGAUAGCUAAUACCGCAUAAGAACAUUUACUGCAUGGUAGAUGUUUAAAAGGUGCAAAUGCAUCACUACCAGAUGGACCUGCGUUGUAUUAGCUAGUAGGUGAGGUAACGGCUCACCUAGGCGACGAUACAUAGCCGACCUGAGAGGGUGAUCGGCCACACUGGGACUGAGACACGGCCCAGACUCCUACGGGAGGCAGCAGUAGGGAAUCUUCGGCAAUGGGGGGAACCCUGACCGAGCAACGCCGCGUGAGUGAAGAAGGUUUUCGGAUCGUAAAGCUCUGUUGUUAAGGAAGAACGAGUGUGAGAAUGGAAAGUUCAUACUGUGACGGUACUUAACCAGAAAGGGACGGCUAACUACGUGCCAGCAGCCGCGGUAAUACGUAGGUCCCGAGCGUUGUCCGGAUUUAUUGAGCGUAAAGCGAGCGCAGGCGGUUAGAUAAGUCUGAAGUUAAAGGCAGUGGCUCAACCAUUGUAGGCUUUGGAAACUGUUUAACUUGAGUGCAGAAGGGGAGAGUGGAAUUCCAUGUGUAGCGGUGAAAUGCGUAGAUAUAUGGAGGAACACCGGUGGCGAAAGCGGCUCUCUGGUCUGUAACUGACGCUGAGGCUCGAAAGCGUGGGGAGCGAACAGG